AUGGUGUUCUUAAGGCAGAAAACAGCACAUAUCCAAGAUGGAGAAAAGCAUGACAGUCUUCAAGAGUUACUCUGUCUUGAGAGAAACACAUGGAUAUAUGUUCAACUCCGGCACUGCACAGCCCCCCAGUGUACUGUUUUUCAGACCCAAAGAAAGAACUUGGAGGACUGUCAGAGAGGUUUGAACAUUUUAUUAUUCACUCCUUGCCAGCAGCAGGCCAGGAUAUAAUGGAGAGCUGCACAGUGCCUACAAGCUAGGGAAAUAUAGUUUGCAUGCCCAAUGUGCAGGUGACUAUCUUUGGAUGUUUUAUGAGUAUAUUCCUUUACAACCAAGGUCACUCUCUUCAGAUCCUUUCCCAAGGAUUGGAGAUAAGGGAAGUGGCCAGCUCCCCCUUCCCAUUUCUCUCUUAUACAUUCUUUUAGAGACCUUUUUCUCACUGCAAGCUUUCCUAGGCACUGAUUAGUUUUUAACGUAACAGUGUGGUAUGGAACAGCAUUGUUGAGCCUGGGAUCCUUGUACACAUGUGGAAUCCCUGUCUUCAUGGCAAAUUUCUGGAAAUCAAUCUCUCUCCACCCCCAUAACACCCUUUGGUGCUGGGGAUAGAACCCAGGACCUCACACAUGCUAGCACACGCUGUACCACUGAGCGACAUGCUUCUUAAAGUCUGUGUAGAUGCACUUGUAAAUGUUGAUUAGUGUAUUGGUGGGUCACCACCUCAUGAAUGGCACAUGGGUCAUCUCACCACCCAUCUUGAUGAGAGUCAUUCUUCCAGGCCUAAAUUGGAAAGCUGCAUUUCUGGGUUUUGACCUUUGUAGCUUAAAAGAGUUUAACCCAUCUCGAGUUUAUAUAAAUUUUCACCAAGUACUUUAUA
RNAcentral lists this long non-coding RNA (871 nucleotides) under Ictidomys tridecemlineatus (thirteen-lined ground squirrel). RNAcentral describes it as "lncRNA (ENSSTOG00000029856.1)". The record is from RNAcentral. Lineage: Eukaryota; Metazoa; Chordata; Mammalia; Rodentia; Sciuridae.